UACGUAGGGGGCAAGCGUUGUCCGGAAUCAUUGGGCGUAAAGAGCGUGUAGGCGGUCCGGUAAGUCGGCUGUGAAAGUCCAGGGCUCAACCCUGGGAUGCCGGUCGAUACUGCCGGACUAGAGUUCGGAAGAGGCGAGUGGAAUUCCCGGUGUAGCGGUGAAAUGCGCAGAUAUCGGGAGGAACACCUAUGGCGAAGGCAGCUCGCUGGGACGUUACUGACGCUGAGGAGCGAAAGCGUGGGGAGCGAACAGG
Molecule: ribosomal RNA, 253 nt
Filed under: uncultured bacterium
Lineage: Bacteria
Description: partial 16S ribosomal RNA
Rfam family: Bacterial small subunit ribosomal RNA
Source: RNAcentral